This 555-nucleotide ribosomal RNA is filed under the name Linnemannia gamsii. RNAcentral's name for it is "eukaryotic LSU rRNA". The stretch from base 115 to 268 matches the Rfam family "5.8S ribosomal RNA". The record is from RNAcentral. Lineage: Eukaryota; Fungi; Mortierellomycota; Mortierellomycetes; Mortierellales; Mortierellaceae.
UAUCCACCUUGUGUGCAAUGUCAGUCGAUCUUCUUUAUGGAGAUCGGCCAAACAUCAACCUAAUUUUUUAACUCUUUGUCUGAAAAAUAUUAUGAAUAAAAUAAUUCAAAAUACAACUUUCAACAACGGAUCUCUUGGCUCUCGCAUCGAUGAAGAACGCAGCGAAAUGCGAUACGUAAUGUGAAUUGCAGAAUUCAGUGAAUCAUCGAAUCUUUGAACGCAUAUUGCGCUCUUUGGUAUUCCGAAGAGCAUGCUUGUUUGAGUAUCAGUAAACACCUCAAAACUCUUUUUUAUUUUUAAAAAACAGUUUUGGACUUGAGCAAUCCCAACACCAAUCUUUUUUAGAUCGGUGGCGGGUUGCUUGAAAUGCAGGUGCAGCUGGACAUUCUCCUGAGCUAAAAGCAUAUUUAUUUAGUCCCGUCAAACGGAUUAUUACUUUUGCUGCAGCUAAUAUAAAGGGAGUUUGACCGUUUUGGCUGACUGAUGCAGGAUUUCACAAGGGUCGGCAACGAUUCUUGUAAAACUCGAUCUCAAAUCAAGUAAGACUACCCGCUG